This 433-nucleotide ribosomal RNA is filed under the name uncultured bacterium. RNAcentral's name for it is "partial 16S ribosomal RNA". It matches the Rfam family "Bacterial small subunit ribosomal RNA", at positions 29 to 507 of the family's 1533-position model. The record is from RNAcentral.
AACGAACGCUGGCGGCAGGCCUAACACAUGCAAGUCGAGCGAGGACUUCGGUUCUAGCGGCGGACGGGUGAGUAACGCGUGGGAAUGUGCCCUUCUCUACGGAAUAGCCCUGGGAAACUGGGAGUAAUACCGUAUACGCCCUAUUGGGGAAAGAUUUAUCGGAGAAGGAUCAGCCCGCGUUGGAUUAGGUAGUUGGUGGGGUAAUGGCCUACCAAGCCGACGAUCCAUAGCUGGUUUGAGAGGAUGAUCAGCCACACUGGGACUGAGACACGGCCCAGACUCCUACGGGAGGCAGCAGUGGGGAAUCUUAGAAAAUGGGGGCAACCAUGAUCUAGCCAUGCUGCGUGAGUGAUGAAGGCCUUAGGGUUGUAAAGCUCUUUCAGCUGGGAAGAUAAUGACGGUACCAGCAGAAGAAGCCCCGGCUAACUCCGUG